GGGGCUGUGGCGUAGCAGGUUAAGCUGUGGUCUGCAGCACCACUAUUCCAUAUGGAUCCAGGUUCAAGUCCUGGCUGCUCCA
RNAcentral lists this transfer RNA (82 nucleotides) under Oryctolagus cuniculus (rabbit). It matches the Rfam family "tRNA". From Rfam's summary of the family: Transfer RNA (tRNA) molecules are approximately 80 nucleotides in length. Lineage: Eukaryota; Metazoa; Chordata; Mammalia; Lagomorpha; Leporidae. The record is from Rfam by way of RNAcentral.